This 491-nucleotide ribosomal RNA is filed under the name Medaura jobrensis. RNAcentral's name for it is "partial large subunit ribosomal RNA". The record is from RNAcentral. Lineage: Eukaryota; Metazoa; Arthropoda; Insecta; Phasmatodea; Phasmatidae.
UUGGAUUCAACUGUUAGCCGGUAGUAGUCCAGGCCACUCCUUAUCAGAUGGCGUCGGGCGCCCGCAGCGAUUCGCGUCGCUUGCGGUGUCGAUCGCGGCGUUUCACUGGUUCGGUGGUGUACCGCUCUGGAGCCUGGCGCAGCGCACUUCCUCCCUAGUAGAAACGUCGCGACCCGUUGGGUGCCGGUCUAAGGCCCGGGCAGGCAGCCCGUGCGUACCGGGGCGGUGAGCCCGUCGCGGUCGCGCGGACGUCCGGUGACCCGGCCGGCUGCCCGACGGUAGGACCAGAGGAGUCGAUCCGCUGAAAGAGAAGCACUUGGGUUUUGUGCAGCGUCCGGCCCCGCGCCGACGCGUGCGGGGAAGCGCCGGCUCCGGCCGGUAGGGUGUCCGUGUGCGUCACGGCCCCGGUCCCGUCACGCCGUCGGUAGUCGGGUGUCCUCGGACUGGAUCAGCACUCCCGUCGGCGACGCCCAUUUUCGGAUGGUCUCCCG